Molecule: ribosomal RNA, 569 nt
Filed under: Curvularia sp. FR25
Lineage: Eukaryota; Fungi; Ascomycota; Dothideomycetes; Pleosporales; Pleosporaceae
Description: eukaryotic LSU rRNA
Rfam family: 5.8S ribosomal RNA (bases 190-343)
Source: RNAcentral
GAUACGUAAAUAUGAGGCUGUACGCGGCUGUGCUCUCGGGCCAGUUUUGCGGAGGCUGAAUUAUUUAUUACCCUUGUCUUUUGCGCACUUGUUGUUUCCUGGGCGGGUUCGCCCGCCACCAGGACCACAUCAUAAACCUUUUUUAUGCAGUUGCAAUCAGCGUCAGUAUAACAAAUGUAAAUCAUUUACAACUUUCAACAACGGAUCUCUUGGUUCUGGCAUCGAUGAAGAACGCAGCGAAAUGCGAUACGUAGUGUGAAUUGCAGAAUUCAGUGAAUCAUCGAAUCUUUGAACGCACAUUGCGCCCUUUGGUAUUCCAAAGGGCAUGCCUGUUCGAGCGUCAUUUGUACCCUCAAGCUUUGCUUGGUGUUGGGCGUUUUUUGUCUUUGGUUGCCAAAGACUCGCCUUAAAAGGAUUGGCAGCCGGCCUACUGGUUUCGCAGCGCAGCACAUUUUUGCGCUUGCAAUCAGCAAAAGAGGACGGCAAUCCAUCAAGACUCCUUCUCACGUUUGACCUCGGAUCAGGUAGGGAUACCCGCUGAACUUAAGCAUAUCAAAAGGCCGGAGGAA